This 460-nucleotide ribosomal RNA is filed under the name uncultured bacterium. Its description in RNAcentral is "partial 16S ribosomal RNA". It matches the Rfam family "Bacterial small subunit ribosomal RNA", at positions 338 to 795 of the family's 1533-position model. The record is from RNAcentral.
CCUACGGGUGGCAGCAGUGAGGAAUAUUGGUCAAUGGGCGGAAGCCUGAACCAGCCAAGUAGCGUGCAGGAUGACGGCCCUACGGGUUGUAAACUGCUUUUAUACGGGAAUAACGCGCCUUACGUGUAGGGCUUUGCAUGUACCGUAUGAAUAAGGACCGGCUAAUUCCGUGCCAGCAGCCGCGGUAAUACGGAAGGUCCGGGCGUUAUCCGGAUUUAUUGGGUUUAAAGGGAGCUUAGGCCGGAUGUAAAGCGUGCUGUGAAAUGUCCGGGCUCAACCCGGGCCUGGCAGCGGAAACUGGCGUGCUUGAGUGAGCGGAAAGCAGGCGGAAUGCGUGGUGUAGCGGUGAAAUGCUUAGAUAUGACGAAGAACCCCGAUUGCGAAGGCAGCUUGCUGCAGCGGAACUGACGCUGAGGCUCGAAAGCGCGGGGAUCGAACAGGAUUAGAUACCCGAGUAGUC